ACUGGGAUUAGAUACCCCACUAUGCUUAGCCCUAAACUUAAGUAUUUUCAUAACAAAAUUACUCGCCAGAGAACUACAAGCCAGAGCUUAAAACUCAAAGGACUUGGCGGUGCUUUAUACCCACCUAGAGGAGCCUGUUCUAUAAUCGAUAAACCCCGAUAAACCUUACCACUCUUUGCCAACUCAGCCUAUAUACCGCCAUCUUCAGCGAACCCUAAAAAGGAGCAAAAGUAAGCUCAACUAUCCCCAUAAAAACGUUAGGUCAAGGUGUAGCCUAUAGAGUGGAAAGUAAUGGGCUACAUUUUCUUCUUCAGAAUAUACGGAAGCCCUCAUGAAAUUCUAAGGGCCAAAGGAGGAUUU
RNAcentral lists this ribosomal RNA (360 nucleotides) under Sylvilagus andinus. RNAcentral describes it as "Sylvilagus brasiliensis andinus partial 12S ribosomal RNA". It matches the Rfam family "Bacterial small subunit ribosomal RNA", at positions 771 to 1333 of the family's 1533-position model. The record is from RNAcentral. Lineage: Eukaryota; Metazoa; Chordata; Mammalia; Lagomorpha; Leporidae.